GGGGAAUCUUCCGCAAUGGGCGAAAGCCUGACGGAGCAACGCCGCGUGAGUGAAGACGGCCUUCGGGUUGUAAAGCUCUGUUAUACGGGACGAAUAAUCUUGUGGUUAAUACCCAUAAGAAGUGACGGUACCGUAAGAGAAAGCCACGGCUAACUACGUGCCAGCAGCCGCGGUAAUACGUAGGUGGCAAGCGUUGUCCGGAAUUAUUGGGCGUAAAGGGCGCGCAGGCGGCUUCUUAAGUCUGUCUUAAAAGUGCGGGGCUUAACCCCGUGAUGGGAUGGAAACUGGGAAGCUCAGAGUAUCGGAGAGGAAAGCGGAAUUCCUAGUGUAGCGGUGAAAUGCGUAGAUAUUAGGAGGAACACCAGUGGCGAAAGCGGCUUUCUGGACGAAAACUGACGCUGAGGCGCGAAAGCCAGGGGAGCGAACGGGAUUAGAUACCCCGGUAGUCCUGGCCGUAAACGAUGGGUACUAGGUGUAGGAGGUAUCGACCCCUUCUGUGCCGGAGUUAACGCAAUAAGUACCCCGCCUGGGGAGUACGGCCGCAAGGUUG
This 550-nucleotide ribosomal RNA is filed under the name uncultured bacterium. Its description in RNAcentral is "bacterial SSU rRNA". It matches the Rfam family "Bacterial small subunit ribosomal RNA", at positions 356 to 896 of the family's 1533-position model. The record is from RNAcentral.